UGUGUUCUAAGGAUUCAUUUUAAUUUGUAAAAAUAAGUCUUAGAACAUUAUACAGGAAACAACAUAAAGUCAAAGAGAAAUGCUUGAAAACCACAGUCUCAGCCUAUGUGAAGCAAUAGCUGAUGGUUGGCAUAGUUUGGAUACUUUACUGAAAUGUAACCUUGUGGUUUUUAACAUUCCCUCUGUGGUGUAAACAUAUUAUUCAAGUAGUGAAUGGUCCUGUUCUUCUUAGCAGCAGGGUUGCUGAGCUAAAAUCAAAUGAGAGCUACAGUAAGCCAGAUGAGAAAAAGAUGGAAGAAAAAUAUCCAGCUGCUUCAUUGAAAAACAAUUCCAGCAAGAGAAAAGGAAGAGGCAUGUAAGGAAAUGAUGAAGCAGCAGCCAUUACCACCUCAAGUGAUAAUCAGUCAUCGUCUAAGCAAGACCCUAAAAUGCCCAGAGAAAUUCCCCAAGAAUCCACUGGAUUCUCCCCCUUCAAGCUUCUCUAUGGUAGGAUGGUGAGAGGGCUCCUCGACGUCCUGAAAUAGACCUGGGAAGAGGAGAGAACAAAACCAAAGAACAUUAUCAGCUAUGUCCUGAAUGUGCAACAAGUAGGCAUAAUAUACGCUGCUCGCUAAACAAAAUCUGUCCAAGGCACAAAGGGCACUGAAGACUUGGUACAACUUGGUCCCAAAACAGAAUUUUGUUAUUACUGCCCACCUCAGAACACAAACUGUUACCAAAAUGAAAAGGCCUGUAUGAGGUGUGGGGAAAAUGUGGUCCUGGGACGUACGAGAUCAGUACACCAGAGAAAACUAAGAAAAGGCAAAUCUUCCACAUCAACCUAUUGAAGGAAUGGAAUGACCGCCCAAGACACGUUAUUGAGGAGAGCAAAGGAAGAACAAACAGCAGAAAAAAUUUUCCCAUCAGGAGAGGAAGAAUGCCCUCCCAAUCAUUUACAUCUCAGUCAGAGGCAGCAGCAACACAUAACAACCUUACUGGAAUUUUUUCCCGGCUUAUUCACAGAGUAGCCCAGACACAGCACAGUCAUACAGCACUGCCAUCAGACAACGAAUGUAUCAGAUUCCAAAAAGACUCCUGGACACCCUGAAGGAGGAAGUUAAUACCAUGCUAAGCACUAAAGUCAUCAAGCCUUCUUACAGCUCUUGGAGCAGUCCUGUGUUUCUCGUAUCAAAGAAAGAUAACUCUAUCCAUUUCUGCAUUGACAUGGUGGGUUGGUAUUGGUGCUUUAUACCGCAUUUUGCUGAAAUUACCUUUCUCCUCACAGAGCUGACCAAGACGAAAGGAGAAAACUUUACAUGGCUGCUGAUUUUUUUUUUAAAUGUAUUUAUUAAUUUGUACUUUUUCUAGCAGUAGGCCUAUCUAUAAGCUAUCUCUGCUAGUAUAACUUUUUCUUUUCGUUGCUGUUUUGGUAGAUGCCUUUGAUUUUCCUGUCCAGUUAGUCUCCUAACACAAUCUACAAUUCCCCUUAAUAAUUAGGCUCAUUAUAUUUUAUUUUUGAAUGUGUCCACAUGUGUUCUAACAUAUUUAAUAAUUAUUUAGUUACAUAUAAAAUUAGACUUGCUAAAUAACUUUUAUUAGUAACACAACACUAUAUUUAUAGUGGAGUUCCAAAUGUGUAUGUACAUUAUAUGGAAAUACAAAAUAUCAUAUACAGCAUAUAUAAAAAAUUGAGUGUUCGGUCAGAAACCUAAUGACUAGUGAUUACGCAAAUGUAAUUUCCAAGACCAUUCCAAAUACAUUUCUUGUAUUGUAUGUAUUUUCAGACAUAGCUAUUCUACCUGUCGUAUUGAAACAUGACAUCAACUACGAUUUGACUUGAAUAUACACAUGAUAACUGAUGCAGAUUGCUGGUGAUAACUGAUGCAGAUUGCAGAUGAUAACUCAUGCAGAUUGCAGGUGCUGACUGAUCGAGAUUGCUGGUGAUAACUGAUGCAGAAUGCAGGUGAUAACUGAUGCAGAUUGCUGGUGAUAGCUGAUGCAGAAUGCAGGUGAUUACUGAUGGAGAUUGCUAGUGAUAACUGAUGCAGAUUGCAGGCAAUAUAGAACUAAGCCACAGAUUUGAAUUUUACCGCACACCCAACACGCACUUAUCGUUAUGCUAUAUGCAGCAAUUGAUGAGUGAAAAGCUUUUAAAAAGUCAAAGUCAACAUUUUAUAAACAAUGAACGUAAAAUACUGUCAAUAUACAAUAAUGUAACAAAUUACAAGGUACUGGAACUAUACCACAUGACAUGUCUAAUGUGUGUUAAUGUGGACAUACAAAUAGGCAUAUGUGAUUCACCCAUAUAGUUUUAGUCAGAAAUUGAAAUUUUUACUUUGAAAACUGUAAAAACAACAUGGCAUAAAUACUAUGGAUAGAAACCACACUACAGAUUACAAAAAUAUAUAAUAGGUAAAACAAUAAAUAAUCUGUUUACAAAGAAAGAAACAAUGAAGGAUACUAGUUUGAAAAAAAUCUGCCUAAAAAUGUACUUUUAUUAAACUUUGUCAGAAUGUUCCUUUGUGUAGAAUACACACAAAAAAACUUAAAGCACUGAACAAUAACAAAAAAAGACCCUUACUGCACAUAUGGAGCUGUGUGACCAAUUGAAUGGUAUAAUCAGAUAUCAUUGUAAAAUGAAUCUAAACAGUUUAAAAUUCAACACAAAAAGGAUGUUGGACAACAGUAACAGAGACUUUUUGUUAAACCACACAUCUUUUUGGCAGUGGAUGUAUUUGGUUUGUUCUGUUAUGUCUUGUAUUUUAUAACAUUCCUGUCAUAAUGUAGAUAUUUUUCAUAUUUCUUGAAAGUUAUCGCUUGCUUAGAACUCCGAUAUAUUGCAUUUUUCUUUACUUGUGCUUUUUCUGAUUAUUAAAAAUGUAAAAUAAUUAUUUUGUUACAAUAAAACCCCAAAAUAAAAAUAAAAGCCAACGGCCAAGCAACUCAGAUCCAAAAUAAACUAACUCAAACAGAUAUGUUUUUAAAAUUGAUUUAAAAGUUUAAACUGUGCCAAAUAUCUUCACUGUAAAACAGGAGAACAAAAUGACUAUGAACAGUACAGAAUACACCUUUUAACGAUUAAAACACAAGUUGCUUGUGUAAACACAAAUUUCAACGCCCAGUUUGUUAUUAAAGUAAUUAUUAAAACUUGUUUGAAACAGGUAGUGAAAUUAUCCCCGUGAGGUAUUUUCCUAAUGCUUGUUAUACAACAAAUGAUAACAGUUGUUGGCUAAGUUGAAAAGCAUGCUCAUAAACUGACAUUUUAUGCUCCAGGGCAAUUUGGAAAACAUAUACUCAGAUAAAGUAUGAAGACUGAGAACUGCCAUUUGGAUAAAUAAAUGCUGUUAAGACCGGGUUAGGUGGAAGUCGGCCAUCCAGAAAGGGGGCGGAGCUGCGAUACACCAAGUUAUCGACCUGGAAGGGAAACAAAGUGGCAGUAACGGAUUGGAGGAGUGAUUGCAAUCGUUAACCAAGGGGGUGUGAUUGAUGGUACAUAAGGGGACAUAGCAAGAUGAUCUGUUCCUUUGUAUGGUUAACGUUGAACUGGAAGGAGAACGUAAUUGUUAUCUUGAGUGUUUUGUCUUGUCUAAAAUUACUUGUUUGUUGUUAUUAGACGGCUAACAUGAUCCGGAGCUGUGGCUACAGGCCAGCACAAAACCCGAACAACACUGCACUACUUCACGAUAAAUUGCAUUUUCACCAUGAGCCCUUCAGCACUCACUUUGGACUUGUGACCGUGUUUGUGUUGACUGUGUGAGUUUAAAUACUGUGUUUAUUGUUUUGGGAGAGAAGGUGAUAGCUACAGUGGUUCAGGAGUUCAUGCAAGCACAAUAUAGUAUUUUUAUUGGUGCCUGUGCAUGGGAGAACAUGAGCCAGAACUGUAAAUCUUCCUCCUGACCUGGAAGGACACUGGCUAAGGUUGAUGGUACACCUUCACAGGAAUGGGCCGACUCAAUGGUAGGACGGAACCGGAAGUCGUGUGUUUUGUUAUUUUUUUGUUUUGGUAGGUGAGUACUCUGGGAGCUGAAGCAACAGAGCCAGUACUACCACCAGGAUCAUCUACACUGCCAUACCACCUCAACCUGUUCCAGCACUCUGAUCAUCUACACUGCCAUACCACCUCAACC
This is a long non-coding RNA of Polyodon spathula (Mississippi paddlefish), 4106 nucleotides long. RefSeq lists it as uncharacterized. The record is from RefSeq and is a predicted model, not a curated record. The transcript has 3 exons. Lineage: Eukaryota; Metazoa; Chordata; Actinopteri; Acipenseriformes; Polyodontidae.